GUAAUUUGUAGAGGAUGCUUCUGGCGAGGCGCCGCCUGAGUUCCCUGGAACGGGACGCCAUAGAGGGUGAGAGCCCCGUCUGGCUGGCCGCCGAGCCUCUGUGAAGCUCCUUCGACGAGUCGAGUAGUUUGGGAAUGCUGCUCAAAACGGGAGGUAUAUGUCUUCUAAAGCUAAAUAUUGGCCAGAGACCGAUAGCGCACAAGUAGAGUGAUCGAAAGAUGAAAAGCACUUUGAAAAGAGGGUUAAACAGUACGUGAAAUUGUUGAAAGGGAAGCGCUUGCGACCAGACUCGGGCGCGGCGGAUCAUCCGGCGUUCUCGCCGGUGCACUCCGCCGCGCUCGGGCCAGCAUCGGUUCGCCCCGGGGGAGAAAGGCGUCGGGAAUGUGGCUCCUCCGGGAGUGUUAUAGCCCGGCGCGGAAUACCCUGGGGCGGACCGAGGACCGCGCGUUUACGCAAGGAUGCUGGCGUAAUGGUCGCCAGCGACCCGUCUUGAAACACGGACCAAGGAGUCGUCCUCGUAUGCGAGUGUUCGGGUGUCAAACCCCUACGCGUAAUGAAAGUGAACGCAGGUGAGAGCUUCGGCGCAUCAUCGACCGAUCCUGAUGUUCUCGGAUGGAUUUGAGUAAGAGCAUACGGGGCCGGACCCGAAAGAAGGUGAACUAUGCCUGUGUAGGGUGAAGCCAGAGGAAACUCU
This 694-nucleotide ribosomal RNA is filed under the name Escovopsis sp. TF25TZG. Its description in RNAcentral is "LSU rRNA". It matches the Rfam family "Eukaryotic large subunit ribosomal RNA", at positions 145 to 865 of the family's 3401-position model. Lineage: Eukaryota; Fungi; Ascomycota; Sordariomycetes; Hypocreales; Hypocreaceae. The record is from RNAcentral.